UACCAUUAGUAGAAACACCUCGGA
Molecule: non-coding RNA, 24 nt
Filed under: Arabidopsis thaliana (thale cress)
Lineage: Eukaryota; Viridiplantae; Streptophyta; Magnoliopsida; Brassicales; Brassicaceae
Source: RNAcentral